Molecule: long non-coding RNA, 1202 nt
Organism: Paramisgurnus dabryanus
Lineage: Eukaryota; Metazoa; Chordata; Actinopteri; Cypriniformes; Cobitidae
Source: RefSeq, a predicted model, not a curated record
ACUGUAACAAAUUUCUGUAGUUUUCACAGCAUUAUUACUGUAAAAUGAGCAAAUGCUUACUGUAGAACUUGUAUACAGCAAGUUGCUGUAGAUCUGCAAAGCAUCAUGGUCUUUUUUCAACGGCGGGUAAAUUCUACAGUAAAAAUAUUUUUUCUGUGAAUCACAAUACAGCAAUUUCUAGAGGAUUUUUUCUUCAGCCAAGGAAAGCUACGAGAUUCCACACUUUCAUCUGAAUUUUUACUUCAGAAAGGGUUGAUGACGUAUGGACCCUGCAUAUGCAAGUGCGACGACCUCCGCAGGCUGAAACCAGUCUCUCGAGCUGAAAGAAAACGCAGCUGAGGAGAUAUGAGACUGCAGACAAGAGCCAUCGACCAUAGUUCCAGAAAACUUCCACCUAAACAGAUGCUGAGGCCCAGAUUUCCCUGCCAAGCACUCCAAGGCUCAUCAUGCUCUGAGAGUCCAUUCUGGGGGCAAAAAAUGGAUGCUUUCCAUCGAGGGCAGAGUUCUCCUCCAAUUGAGUGACCGUUGUGAUUUCACUUCUGCUCUAGCCAUGUAUGAUGCAGCCACUACAUUGGAAUUUAUCCAGAGGGUAGAGUCCAGCCCAGGAAGUCAACUAGUUCAGGUCCAGUUUUAAAAGAAUAAUAGUUCUGAAAAAAAAAACCGUCUUGGAGAAAAACAAUAUUCAGGUUUGAAAUCCUGCUGUAAAUGUAAAUCAUUUAAUUUUUAUGCAUUUGUAAUUUACCAGAAACAUUUUAAUAAAUAUUGAUUGUUUUGUGUGUUCAGAAAAGUGUUUUUGUAUGAAGUGUUGAAAUUAAAUGAAAUAUUCACAGAAAAAUGUUAACAUAUAAAAAAAAUGUAUGUGUUCAGAAAAGAUUUGAGAUGUUCACAGAAAAAAUGUAACAUGUUGAAAAAAAUGUAUGCUAUGCUAUUUUUAAAUUAUGAAUUUUUGUAAUUUAAAGUGAGAAAAUAAAUGCCAUUUUUGUGACAAACAGUGUCUUCAUUUUACAGUACACAAAAUAAAUGCAGUAAUCCCUAUUACAGUAGUAGUUAUGAAAUACAGUACUGUGAUUAUUACUGUAAAAGAGUUCACAGUAAUUUUAAUUUUACUGCAGUUACAUUUACAGUAAGAAUACUGUGAAAUGAAAUACAGCAACUUACUAGCUAAUUGCUGCCAGCAAGUUACUGUAUUUUUCACAGUAUUC